This is a long non-coding RNA of Syngnathus acus (greater pipefish), 1366 nucleotides long. RefSeq lists it as uncharacterized. The record is from RefSeq and is a predicted model, not a curated record. The transcript has 2 exons. Lineage: Eukaryota; Metazoa; Chordata; Actinopteri; Syngnathiformes; Syngnathidae.
UGUACUCUUUGUGUUUAUUUGAUUUUCCACCUUGUCUUGUUGCAAACAGUGAAACACUGGAGAAAUGCUGGGUAUAUAUAAACAUGUAUAUAAUAUAUAUAGUAUAUAAAUAUAUAAUUUGUGCACAACCCUGAGAAAAAAAAAGAUGAUCAAGUCAACAUUGAGUUUGUGAUUGUUAUGCUGGCAAAUGUCAGUCUAUUUAAUUCCAAAAAAGAAAGAAAAAAAAACAUCCAUUUAUUUUCUUCUCCAAAACGUGACCAUGCUGGAGUUCCAGUCGAUGCAAAUGUAUUUCAAUGGACUCCACAGUUGAACCGCGUCAAGCUGUCUGAUGAGCUCAUGCUGGCGUUGAAUGUAUCAGAUCCAUUGUUCUUCAGGUAGAGGAUAAUGAGCCAUGGUCAUAGUUUUUUCCCCACCUGUAAUGAUUGUAAUAUUGCACGUGAGCAGGGUUUGUGUGUGUGUGUGUGAGGGGGGGGGGGGCAUGUACUGUACACAUGCACAAGACAAACAAGUUGCGCGUAAGCAUUCAAAUGCUGUGACUGGAUUGAUGCAUGUAGAAUUGGAUUGUGGCUUAGAAUAAUCAACUUCCAACUCAUGAAUGAUCAAGUCGAAACUUCUUUUUCAUGACCACUGGUACCCCCACCCUUUCCCAACAAACACUCGCAUAGCUUUGUGCAUGAACAUAUAUUUAACAGGACUACUAAGAGAUACUUAAGAGUACAACUUUAAACUUGUGACAGUCUUAAAAUAACCGAAUGUAUUGUACUUGGAUUGUUGCUGUCUGGCUGCACUUAUUUUGAGAUCAAAUAUUUCUGGGGUCGGGUGGGGUGAUGCAGUCCCCGAGCUGGUCUUGUUUUCUACUGUGUAGACGAGGCCUCACGUACAUGUGAGGUGGUUUUAAAGAAUCCUCAUGCUCCAGAAAAAACUAAUAUUUGUACAUCUAUAGUAUGAAAACUGUCAAUAAAGGCUCAUAUUCCAGGGCUAUAAUUUUUGUUUCUGUCAACCAGUUAAAAAAAAAAAAAGAAAGCAAACAAACUGCUGACACCUGAGUUAUCUAAGUUAUUGUGUACUGUGCAUGCAACAACACAUUUGGAGAGACUUUUAGAGAGGAAGAGAAAAAACUUUUUUUUUCCCAGCCUCGUGAGAACUAACGGGCGCUCAUCCUUGAGAAGACUACACUUUGUUGCUGAUUUGAAAAGAAAGAAAAAAAAAGUCAGGUGUUGUAUGGCCUUGGUCCCAUCAUGGAAUGUGAAUUGUUCUGUGCUGCCACAAAUGUAUUUAGGAUUAGCUUAAUAUUGUAUAUGGCUGUAUGUUACGUUUUCAGAAGAGGAUUACGUUAAAUCAUUGAAUAAAUGAUAUACAUUGUAAA